Lepus europaeus (European hare) is the source of this 651-nucleotide long non-coding RNA. RefSeq lists it as uncharacterized. Lineage: Eukaryota; Metazoa; Chordata; Mammalia; Lagomorpha; Leporidae. The record is from RefSeq and is a predicted model, not a curated record. The transcript is spliced from 3 exons.
CAGGCGGGCUUCGGGGAGGGCCCAGUGCGGGGAACCAGGGGCCUGGGCCUCGGGGUCUCAGAAGUGCCGGCUGACAGCGAGAGAAGGCGGCCGCGACGCGCGGACACCCGCGGAGAGGAGGCGGAGACUCGGGCCGGUGCUCACAGCCACCAUGACCAGCCUCCACAGAAGCCAGACUAUGGGGCCUCCUGACUCUGAACUGUAUCCUCCAAACUGUGAGCUGAAAUAAAUGUUUUCUUUCCCAAGAAGUUCCUCUCAGAUUUUAUUUGAGAGUUAGAGCUGCAGACAGAGGGAGAGACAGAAAACUCUUCCUUCCACUGGUUCACUCCCAGAUGGCCACAACUGCUGGAGCUGCGCUGAUCUGAAGCCAGGAGCCAGGCACUUUUUCCUGGUCUCCCACGUGGGUGCAGGGGCCCAAGGACUUGAGCCAUCCUUCACUGCUUUCCCAGGCCACAGGAGAGAGCUGGGCUGGAAGUGGAACAGCCAGGACUAGAACCGGCACCCAUAUGGGAUGCCGGCACCGCAGGCAGAGGAUUAACCCACUGCACCACGACGCCGGCCCCUCCUCCAUAUUUUUUCAUAAGUUCACAAUUCAUUCCUUUUUAGCACUUAAUAUCUUGUUGUCUGAACGUACCACACUUUAUUCACCUA